RNAcentral lists this transfer RNA (76 nucleotides) under Bacillota bacterium. RNAcentral's name for it is "tRNA-Arg". It matches the Rfam family "tRNA". Rfam says of the family: Transfer RNA (tRNA) molecules are approximately 80 nucleotides in length. Their secondary structure includes four short double-helical elements and three loops (D, anti-codon, and T loops). Further hydrogen bonds mediate the characteristic L-shaped molecular structure. tRNAs have two regions of fundamental functional importance: the anti-codon, which is responsible for specific mRNA codon recognition, and the 3' end, to which the tRNAs corresponding amino acid is attached (by aminoacyl-tRNA synthetases). tRNAs cope with the degeneracy of the genetic code in two manners: having more than one tRNA (with a specific anti-codon) for a particular amino acid; and 'wobble' base-pairing, i.e. permitting non-standard base-pairing at the 3rd anti-codon position. The record is from RNAcentral. Lineage: Bacteria; Bacillati; Bacillota.
GCGCCCGUAGCUCAGCGGAUAGAGCGACAGACUACGAAUCUGCAGGUCGGGGGUUCAAUUCCCUCCGGGCGCGCCA